Molecule: ribosomal RNA, 445 nt
Filed under: uncultured bacterium
Lineage: Bacteria
Description: partial 16S ribosomal RNA
Rfam family: Bacterial small subunit ribosomal RNA
Source: RNAcentral
GUGAGGAAUAUUGGUCAAUGGGCGAGAGCCUGAACCAGCCAAGUCGCGUGAAGGAUGAAGGUUUUAUGAAUUGUAAACUUCUUUUGCAGGGGAAUAAAGUACGGUACGUGUACCGUUUUGUAUGUACUCUGCGAAUAAGGAUCGGCUAACUCCGUGCCAGCAGCCGCGGUAAUACGGAGGAUCCAAGCGUUAUCCGGAUUUAUUGGGUUUAAAGGGUGCGCAGGCGGGUUGAUAAGUCAGCGGUGAAAGUUUGCAGCUUAACUGUAAAAUUGCCGUUGAAACUGUCGAUCUUGAGUGCAAAUGAGGUAAGCGGAAUGUGUUGUGUAGCGGUGAAAUGCUUAGAUAUGGCACAGAACACCAAUUGCGAAGGCAGCUCACUAAGGCGAUACUGACGCUGAGGCACGAAAGCGUGGGGAUCGAACAGGAUUAGAUACCCGGGUAGUCC